Molecule: ribosomal RNA, 492 nt
Filed under: uncultured bacterium
Lineage: Bacteria
Description: partial 16S ribosomal RNA
Rfam family: Bacterial small subunit ribosomal RNA
Source: RNAcentral
GGGGGGGGGGGGGGGGGGGCGUGGGGGGUGCGAGUCGGGCGGGGGCGCGGUAGGGGCUUGCGCGUCCGGGGGGGGGGUGGCGGGCGGGUGGGGGAGACAUCGGGACCUACGUGUUCGUGGGGGCUAACGGCGGUACACUUCCGCUAAUACCGCUGACGACCUACGUGUGGACUCAGGGGAUCUUCGGACCUUGCGCGAUGGAUUGGGCCGACUUCGGAGUAGCUCGGUGGGGGGGUGAAGGCCCACCAAGGCUACGAUCCGUAGCUGGUCUUAGAGGAUGAUCAGCCACACUGGAACUGAGACACGGUCCAGACGCCUACGGGAGGCAGCAGUGGGGAAUAUUGGACAAUGGGUGCAAGACUGAUCCAGCCAUACCGCGUGGGUGAAGAAGGCCUUCGGGUUGUAAAGCCCUUUUGUUGGGAAAGAAAAGCAGCAGGUUAAUACCCCGCUGUUCUGACGGUACCCAAAGAAUAAGCACCGGCUAACUUCGUG